CUUAACACAUGCAAGUCGAACGAUGAACUGGUGCUUGCACUGGGGAUUAGUGGCGAACGGGUGAGUAACACGUGAGUAACCUGCCCUUGACUCUGGGAUAAGCCUGGGAAACUGGGUCUAAUACCGGAUAUGACUCCUCAUCGCAUGGUGGGGGGUGGAAAGCUUUUGUGGUUUUGGAUGGACUCGCGGCCUAUCAGCUUGUUGGUGGGGUAAUGGCCUACCAAGGCGACGACGGGUAGCCGGCCUGAGAGGGUGACCGGCCACACUGGGACUGAGACACGGCCCAGACUCCUACGGGAGGCAGCAGUGGGGAAUAUUGCACAAUGGGCGGAAGCCUGAUGCAGCGACGCCGCGUGAGGGAUGACGGCCUUCGGGUUGUAAACCUCUUUCAGUAGGGAAGAAGCCGUAAGGUGACGGUACCUGCAGAAGAAGCGCCGGCUAACUACGUGCCAGCACCCGCGGUAAUACGUAGGGCGCAAGCGUUAUCCGGAAUUAUUGGGCGUAAAGAGCUCGUAGGCGGUUUGUCGCGUCUGCUGUG
RNAcentral lists this ribosomal RNA (538 nucleotides) under Arthrobacter sp. AL13. RNAcentral describes it as "bacterial SSU rRNA". It matches the Rfam family "Bacterial small subunit ribosomal RNA", at positions 47 to 596 of the family's 1533-position model. Lineage: Bacteria; Bacillati; Actinomycetota; Actinomycetes; Micrococcales; Micrococcaceae. The record is from RNAcentral.